This 332-nucleotide unclassified non-coding RNA is filed under the name soil metagenome. Its description in RNAcentral is "partial contains 5.8S ribosomal RNA, internal transcribed spacer 2, and large subunit ribosomal RNA". The stretch from base 1 to 120 matches the Rfam family "5.8S ribosomal RNA", at positions 35 to 154 of the family's 154-position model. The record is from RNAcentral.
GAUGAAGAACGCAGCGAAAUGCGAAAAGUAAUGUGAAUUGCAGAAUUCAGUGAAUCAUCGAAUCUUUGAACGCACAUUGCGCCCGCCAGUAUUCUGGCGGGCAUGCCUGUUCGAGCGUCAUUUCAACCCUCAAGCACAGCUUGGUGUUGGGACUCGCGUUAAUUCGCGUUCCCCAAAUUGAUUGGCGGUCACGUCGAGCUUCCAUAGCGUAGUAGUAAAACCCUCGUUACUGGUAAUCGUCGCGGCCACGCCGUUAAACCCCAACUUCUGAAUGUUGACCUCGGAUCAGGUAGGAAUACCCGCUGAACUUAAGCAUAUCAAUAAGCGGAGGA